Octopus bimaculoides (California two-spot octopus) is the source of this 104-nucleotide non-coding RNA. The record is from Rfam. NCBI's taxonomy places the organism in Eukaryota, Metazoa, Mollusca, Cephalopoda, Octopoda, Octopodidae.
UAUAUAUACAUAUAUAUAUAUAUAUAUAUGUGUGUAGAGAGAGAAGAUUAGCAUGGCCCCUGUACAAGGACGACAUGCACAUUCAUGAAGCAUUCUAUAUUCUU